This 1329-nucleotide ribosomal RNA is filed under the name metagenome. RNAcentral's name for it is "bacterial SSU rRNA". It matches the Rfam family "Bacterial small subunit ribosomal RNA", at positions 193 to 1498 of the family's 1533-position model. The record is from RNAcentral.
CGUUUGGAUCAAGGGUGGCCUCUACAUGUAAGCUACUGUUUGAAGAUGAGCCCGCGUACCAUUAGCUUGUUGGUGGGGUAAUGGCCUACCAAGGCAGCGAUGGUUAGCUGGUCUGAGAGGAUGAUCAGCCACACUGGAACUGACACACGGUCCAGACUCCUACGGGAGGCAGCAGUGAGGAAUUUUGCGCAAUGGGGGAAACCCUGACGCAGCAACGCCGCGUGAGUGAUGAAGGCUUUCGGGUCGUAAAGCUCUGUCAAGUGGGAAGAACCUGCAGUAUGCCAAUAUCAUAUUGCACUGACGGUACCACUGAAGGAAGCACCGGCUAACUCCGUGCCAGCAGCCGCGGUAAUACGGGGGGUGCAAGCGUUAUUCGGAAUCAUUGGGCGUAAAGAGCACGUAGGCGGCCUGGUAAGUCAGAUGUGAAAGCCCGGGGCUUAACCCCGGAAGUGCAUUUGAUACUGUCAGGCUUGAGUAUGGGAGAGGGAAGUGGAAUUCCUGGUGUAGAGGUGAAAUUCGUAGAUAUCAGGAGGAACACCGGUGGCGAAGGCGACUUCCUGGACCAAUACUGACGCUGAGGUGCGAAGGCGUGGGUAGCAAACAGGAUUAGAUACCCUGGUAGUCCACGCAGUAGACGUUGUUCACUAGGUGUAGCGGGUAUUGACCCCUGCUGUGCCGCAGUUAACGCAUUAAGUGAACCGCCUGGGGAGUACGACCGCAAGGUUAAACUCAAAGGAAUUGACGGGGGCCCGCACAAGCGGUGGAGCAUGUGGUUUAAUUCGACGCGACGCGAAGAACCUUACCUGGAUUUGACAUCCCGGGAAUCCUAUCGAAAGACUGGAGUGCCCUUCGGGGAGCCCGGAGACAGGUGCUGCAUGGCUGUCGUCAGCUCGUGUCGUGAGAUGUUGGGUUAAGUCCCGCAACGAGCGCAACCCUUGUCUUUAGUUACCAUCAUUCAGUUGGGGACUCUAAAGAUACUGCCCCGGUCAACGGGGAGGAAGGUGGGGAUGACGUCAAGUCCUCAUGGCCUUUAUGUCCAGGGCUACACACGUGCUACAAUGGGCUGUACAAAGGGUCGCGAACCCGCGAGGGUAAGCCAAUCCCAAAAAGCAGUCCCAAGUUCGGAUUGGAGUCUGCAACUCGACUCCAUGAAGCUGGAAUCGCUAGUAAUCGCGGAUCAGCAUGCCGCGGUGAAUACGUUCCCGGGCCUUGUACACACCGCCCGUCACACCAUGAGAGUUGGUUGUACCAGAAGUCGUCGGGCUAACCUUUCGAGGAUGCAGGCGCCUAAGGUAUGGCUGAUAAUUAGGGUGAAGUCGAAACAAGGUA